CCUACGGGUGGCAGCAGUGGGGAAUAUUGCACAAUGGGGGAAACCCUGAUGCAGCGACGCCGCGUGAGUGAAGAAGUAUCUCGGUACGUAAAGCUCUAUCAGCAGGGAAGAAAAUGACGGUCCCUGACUAAGAAGCCCCGGCUAACUUCGUGCCAGCAGCCGCGGUAAUACGUAGGGGGCAAGCGUUAUCCGGAUUUACUGGGGGUAGAGGGAGCGUAGACGGCAGCACAAGUCUGGAGUGAAAUCCCGGGGCUUAACCCCGGAACUGCGUUGGAAAAUGUGCGGCUGGAGUGCAGGAGGGGUGAGCGGAAUGCCUGGUGUAGCGGUGAAAUGCGUAGAUAUUAGGAAGAACACCGGUGGCGAAGGCGGCUUACUGGACUGUAACUGACGUUGAGGCUCGAAAGCGUGGGUAGCAAACAGGAUUAGAUACCCGGGUAGUC
RNAcentral lists this ribosomal RNA (440 nucleotides) under uncultured bacterium. RNAcentral describes it as "partial 16S ribosomal RNA". It matches the Rfam family "Bacterial small subunit ribosomal RNA", at positions 338 to 795 of the family's 1533-position model. The record is from RNAcentral.